GCUGAUUAUCAUACCACCCUUACUAUACUGAUCUUGUCUGAUUUUGAAAGCUAAGCAGGGUCAGGGCUUGGUAUGGGAGACCAUCAAGAAAUACCAGAGAUCUCCAGAU
RNAcentral lists this ribosomal RNA (109 nucleotides) under Pogona vitticeps (central bearded dragon). The record is from RNAcentral. Lineage: Eukaryota; Metazoa; Chordata; Lepidosauria; Squamata; Agamidae.